GCAACGCCGCGUGAGGGAUGACGGCCUUCGGGUUGUAAACCUCUUUUAGUAGGGAAGAAGCGAAAGUGACGGUACCUGCAGAAAAAGCACCGGCUAACUACGUGCCAGCAGCCGCGGUAAUACGUAGGGUGCAAGCGUUGUCCGGAAUUAUUGGGCGUAAAGAGCUCGUAGGCGGUUUGUCGCGUCUGCUGUGAAAUCCCGAGGCUCAACCUCGGGCUUGCAGUGGGUACGGGCAGACUAGAGUGCGGUAGGGGAGAUUGGAAUUCCUGGUGUAGCGGUGGAAUGCGCAGAUAUCAGGAGGAACACCGAUGGCGAAGGCAGAUCUCUGGGCCGUAACUGACGCUGAGGAGCGAAAGCGUGGGGAGCGAACAGGAUUAGAUACCCUGGUAGUCCACGCCGUAAACGUUGGGCGCUAGAUGUAGGGACCUUUCCACGGUUUCUGUGUCGUAGCUAACGCAUUAAGCGCCCCGCCUGGGGAGUACGGCCGCAAGGCUAAAACUCAAAGGAAUUGACGGGGGCCCGCACAAGCGGCGGAGCAUGCGGAUUAAUUCGAUGCAACGCGAAGAACCUUACCAAGGCUUGACAUACACCGGAAACGGCCAGAGAUGGUCGCCCCCUUGUGGUCG
RNAcentral lists this ribosomal RNA (626 nucleotides) under Curtobacterium sp. Ri2Ps_4982. Its description in RNAcentral is "bacterial SSU rRNA". It matches the Rfam family "Bacterial small subunit ribosomal RNA", at positions 391 to 1029 of the family's 1533-position model. Lineage: Bacteria; Bacillati; Actinomycetota; Actinomycetes; Micrococcales; Microbacteriaceae. The record is from RNAcentral.